Non-coding RNA from Mycena vitilis, 95 nucleotides. The record is from the annotation of a GenBank genome assembly. NCBI's taxonomy places the organism in Eukaryota, Fungi, Basidiomycota, Agaricomycetes, Agaricales, Mycenaceae.
GACUGAGUGGUGUAAUGGUUACAUUGUCGCCAAAGAUUGAAAUCUCGUCUGAAUCUUUUAUGGUGAUGUUGUGGGUUCAAAUCCCACCUCAGUCA